RNAcentral lists this transfer RNA (72 nucleotides) under Pangasianodon hypophthalmus (striped catfish). It matches the Rfam family "tRNA". Rfam says of the family: Transfer RNA (tRNA) molecules are approximately 80 nucleotides in length. Their secondary structure includes four short double-helical elements and three loops (D, anti-codon, and T loops). Further hydrogen bonds mediate the characteristic L-shaped molecular structure. tRNAs have two regions of fundamental functional importance: the anti-codon, which is responsible for specific mRNA codon recognition, and the 3' end, to which the tRNAs corresponding amino acid is attached (by aminoacyl-tRNA synthetases). tRNAs cope with the degeneracy of the genetic code in two manners: having more than one tRNA (with a specific anti-codon) for a particular amino acid; and 'wobble' base-pairing, i.e. permitting non-standard base-pairing at the 3rd anti-codon position. The record is from Rfam by way of RNAcentral. Lineage: Eukaryota; Metazoa; Chordata; Actinopteri; Siluriformes; Pangasiidae.
UCCCUGGAGGACUAGUGGUUAGGCCAUGGCGCUCUCACUGCCAAGGCCCAGGUUCGAUUCCUGGCCAGGGAA